RNAcentral lists this ribosomal RNA (301 nucleotides) under uncultured bacterium. RNAcentral describes it as "partial 16S ribosomal RNA". It matches the Rfam family "Bacterial small subunit ribosomal RNA", at positions 509 to 809 of the family's 1533-position model. The record is from RNAcentral.
CAGUCGCCGCGGGAAUACCGAGGGUGCGAGCGUUAAUCGGAUUUACUGGGCGUAAAGCGUGUGUAGGUUGUUGUUCAAGUCAGUUGUGAAAUCCCUGGGCUCAACCUGGGAACUGCUUCUGAGACUGAACGACUAGAGUACGGUAGAGGGUGGUGGAAUUUCCGGUGUAGCGGUGAAAUGCGUAGAUAUCGGAAGGAACAUCAAUGGCGAAGGCAGCCACCUGGGCCUGUACUGACACUGAGACACGAAAGCGUGGGGAUCAAACAGGAUUAGAUACCCGCGUAGUCCCUGUCUCUUAUAA